This 233-nucleotide long non-coding RNA is filed under the name Fukomys damarensis (Damara mole-rat). RNAcentral's name for it is "lncRNA (ENSFDAG00000026230.1)". Lineage: Eukaryota; Metazoa; Chordata; Mammalia; Rodentia; Bathyergidae. The record is from RNAcentral.
GCCGGUUUGGGGACUGUUGACAACAGCUGUAUCUUUUAGGGGAGGGAAGUUGCCAGCGUAUUCUUGGAAGCAGGUGCUUCCUAGGAGGGACUGAGUCUUCCAUAGCGAUACUCAGGUGUUCGCUCCAGCACUUGGAGUCCACAGAUCGAGUUGAACUUGACCUGGGUUGUGGCAGCCCGUGCUUCUCCCCUGCCUGGACUGAGAGAACUUUUGCAUUAGAAGUUGGACACCCU